GACGAACGCUGGCGGCGUGCUUAACACAUGCAAGUCGAACGGAAAGGCCCUGCUUGCAGGGUACUCGAGUGGCGAACGGGUGAGUAACACGUGGGUGAUCUGCCCUGCACUUCGGGAUAAGCCUGGGAAACUGGGUCUAAUACCGGAUAGGAGCCAUUUUUAGUGUGAUGGUUGGAAAGUUUUUUCGGUGUAGGAUGAGCUCGCGGCCUAUCAGCUUGUUGGUGGGGUAAUGGCCUACCAAGGCGGCGACGGGUAGCCGGCCUGAGAGGGUGGACGGCCACAGUGGGACUGAGAUACGGCCCAGACUCCUACGGGAGGCAGCAGUGGGGAAUAUUGCACAAUGGGCGCAAGCCUGAUGCAGCGACGCCGCGUGGGGGAUGACGGCCUUCGGGUUGUAAACUCCUUUCGCUAGGGACGAAGCUUUUUGUGACGGUACCUAGAUAAGAAGCGCCGGCUAACUACGUG
This 465-nucleotide ribosomal RNA is filed under the name uncultured bacterium. RNAcentral describes it as "partial 16S ribosomal RNA". It matches the Rfam family "Bacterial small subunit ribosomal RNA", at positions 28 to 507 of the family's 1533-position model. The record is from RNAcentral.